CAUCAAGGCAAAGUGCAAAUAUUGUGUGCGGACUAGGAAAAAACACUUCUAACCUGCUGAAACAUCUGAAGUUAAAGAUUCUGCUUCUCACUCCAUGAUUCCGGUAUAUUGUAUAGGACAUGUUCUACCGCUUGUGUCAGCUACCUACAGCUUUUGGAUCCUACAUUUGUGAACACGCCCAAAGUCCAAGCCUGAAUGUUUCAAAACAAACCGUGAAACACUAAAACUGUAUCAUUCCUUUGGAGAGCACAGUGAACAAACUUUGUUCAUGCAAGAAGCAACUCUGUUAAGAAGGACAAUAUACAAAUAUAGCCAGUCAGAAGUAUCCAUUCCUUUCAUUCAACCUCCACCCUAAUAUACUAAUCUAGCCAUUAAGAAUUAUCCAUUCCUUACAUUCAACCUCCACCCUAAUGUACUAAUCUAGCCAUUCAGAGUUAUCCAUUCCUUUCACUCAACCUCCAUCUUAAUAUACUAAUCUAACCAGUCAGAAGUAUCCAUUCCUUUCACCCAACCUCUAUCUUAAUAUACUAAUCUAGCCAGUCAGAAUUAUCCAUCCCUGUCACCCAACCUCCAUCUUAAUAUACCAAUCUAGUCAGUCAGAAUUAUCCAUUCUUUUCACUCAGCCUUUACCCUAGUAUACUAAUCUAACCAAUCAGAAUUAUCCAUCCUUGUCCCAAAUUCUACCCUAGUGUACUAAUCUAGCUAGUCAGAAUUAUCCAUUCCUUUCACUCAACCUCCACCCUAAUAUACGAAUCUAGCUAGUCAGAAUUAUCCAUUCCUUUUGACCCAACCUCCACCCUAAUAUACUAAUCUAACCAGUCAGAAUUAUCCAUCCCUGUCCCAAACUCUACCUUAAUAUACUAAUCUAGCCAGUCAGAAUUAUCCAAUCAUUUCACUCAACCUCUACCCUAAUAUACUAAUCUAGCCAGUCAGAAUUAUCCAUCCCUGUCACUCAACCUCCAUCUUAAUAUACUAAUCUAGCCAGUCAGAAUUAUCCAUUCCUUUCACUCAACCUCUACCCUAAUAUACUAAUCUAGCCAGUCAGAAUUAUCCAUUCCUGUCACUCAACCUUUACCCUAAUAUACUAAUCUAGCUAGUCAUAAUUAUCCAUUCCUUUCACUCAACCUCUACCCUAAUAUACUAAUCUAGCCAGUCAGAAUUAUCCAUUCCUGUCACUCAACCUUUACCCUAAUAUACUAAUCUAGCUAGUCAUAAUUAUCCAUUCCUUUCACCCAACCUCCAUCCUUACCAAAAGUGAAGCAGAUCAUCAAUCACAAACUUGCGUGUUACUGUUGUAGUUCGUUAGGAUAAAUGGAAUAGACCUACUUGUGUAGUAUUUUCCUCACCCUUCUAUACCAUAGCCAGUUAUCUGGCCGUAGUGAAAGUUACAUAGAUCUGGCAGCGUCCUUUUUCGAACAGAAUAAAAGUUUUUCCAGUUUUUAUCCUGGCUCCAUUCUGACAACACCAUGAUAAGUCAACGCUGGAUGUUGGAUUUGUGACAACACGUCGUGAUGCGUUUCAUAAGCUUAUUGGUUGUCAUUAGUCCAUUUUCCUUCACGUAGUUUGGACUUUGAUAUCUGCUACAAAGACAGUUGUUGGUCGAAAAUAUACGAAAUUUAAAAUAUUGCUCUUAGUAACAAAUUCACUGACACGUGCUUGUGUGAGUAUUGCAUAAAGAUUUCUGUUUCAUUGUUA
Molecule: long non-coding RNA, 1695 nt
Organism: Limulus polyphemus (Atlantic horseshoe crab)
Lineage: Eukaryota; Metazoa; Arthropoda; Merostomata; Xiphosura; Limulidae
Exons: 2
Source: RefSeq, a predicted model, not a curated record